AUGUCCAACUUUGGGGCCCACACUGAGAUUGUCCCCCCUGAUGUAGUUUGCUCCAGAGUGUUUUGCCUGUUUUUUUUUUUUCCCCCACAGUGCAUGGCAUGUGGGAUCUUAGUUCCUGGACCAGGGAGUGUCUGGUGUCUGGACCAGGGAUCCAACCCAUUCCCCACCCCACCUUCCACUCCCCCUGUGCAAUGGAAGGGUGGAGUCUUUAACCUCUGGAUUGUCAGAAAAGUCCCUGGGACAUUAACUUCUUGCUUCAAACCAUUUGUUAUUAUUCAUGGCCAAGGAUUCUUACUUUUUGCUUAUGUCUGUAUUUCAAAGGAGAAUUUGUUUCUUUCUAAUAUGUUCUACGAAAUGUUGGCUGUAUUUAUUGACCAGGCAAGACAAUACAACAGGGUAAUUUGGUAUUGGAUAAGCUCUCUAGGAUCAGCCCUCUCUGUGAGGAUCAGCGAUGUGGGUGGGUGCAGGGGGAACUUAAAGCCCCUUUGACACAGGCAGCACACAGGGGACCAUGAACACUGAAGGUGAGUGAAUAGGAAAAACUCUUGUUUCCUCUGCGUGUGUGCUAAUUUGCUUCAGUUAUAUCCAACUCUUUAUGACCCUAUGGACCGCAGCCUGCCAGGCUCCUGUCCAUGGGAUUCUUCAGGCAAGAAUACUGAAGUGGGUUGCCAUGCACUCUGCCAGGGGAUCUUCCCAAACCAGGGAUUGAACCUGCAUCUCUUAUGUCUCCUGCA
This 734-nucleotide long non-coding RNA is filed under the name Capra hircus (goat). RNAcentral's name for it is "lncRNA (ENSCHIG00010017692.1)". Lineage: Eukaryota; Metazoa; Chordata; Mammalia; Artiodactyla; Bovidae. The record is from RNAcentral.